UCGUAUAAAAUGGAGGUGCUCAGGCUGUCGCUGACCUUUGAAAAAGGGUUGUGCACGCCCGGAGCGCUCUCUCAUAUAUAUUCAUCUCACCCCUUUGUGCAUUGCCAUGUGGGUCCCCUUUUGGCUUGUUCCGAGGGGGUGACCUGCGUUUUUACAUAGACACCCUUUGAAUGCAUGUGUAGAACAUCUUACUUUUUGCAAUCACACGCAAUCAAUA
This 217-nucleotide unclassified non-coding RNA is filed under the name uncultured Russula. RNAcentral's name for it is "sequence contains ITS1". Lineage: Eukaryota; Fungi; Basidiomycota; Agaricomycetes; Russulales; Russulaceae. The record is from RNAcentral.